RNAcentral lists this transfer RNA (81 nucleotides) under Lachnospiraceae bacterium. Its description in RNAcentral is "tRNA-OTHER". It matches the Rfam family "tRNA". Rfam says of the family: Transfer RNA (tRNA) molecules are approximately 80 nucleotides in length. Their secondary structure includes four short double-helical elements and three loops (D, anti-codon, and T loops). Lineage: Bacteria; Bacillati; Bacillota; Clostridia; Lachnospirales; Lachnospiraceae. The record is from RNAcentral.
CUGUGCUUAGCUCAGAGGUCAGAGCAGCUUGAACAUAAUCCCCCGUUCAAGAGAUCGCUGGUUCGAAUCCAGCAGCACAGA